This 335-nucleotide ribosomal RNA is filed under the name Scomber australasicus (blue mackerel). RNAcentral describes it as "partial 12S ribosomal RNA". It matches the Rfam family "Bacterial small subunit ribosomal RNA", at positions 1053 to 1533 of the family's 1533-position model. The record is from RNAcentral. Lineage: Eukaryota; Metazoa; Chordata; Actinopteri; Scombriformes; Scombridae.
CGUCAGCUCACCCUGUGAAGGCCUAAUAGUAAGCAAAAUUGGCACAGCCCAGAACGUCAGGUCGAGGUGUAGCGCAUGAGAGGGGAAGAAGUGGGCUACAUUCGCUAACUUAGCGAAUCACGGACGAUGAAUUGAAAACAUUCAUCCUUAAAGGAGGAUUUAGCAGUAAGUGGAAAAUAGAGUGUUCCACUGAAAUCGGCUCUGAAGUGCGUACACACCGCCCGUCACUCUCUCCAAGCCCACCCAAUUACCUAACAUAACUAAUUAUACCCAAACUGCAAAGGAGAGGCAAGUCGUAACAUGGUAAGUGUACCGGAAGGUGCACUUGGAAAAAU